Molecule: ribosomal RNA, 463 nt
Filed under: uncultured bacterium
Lineage: Bacteria
Description: partial 16S ribosomal RNA
Rfam family: Bacterial small subunit ribosomal RNA
Source: RNAcentral
GAUGAACGCUGACAGAAUGCUUAACACAUGCAAGUCUUUGGCGAAGCUGUGCUCGCACAGCCUAGCCAAGGCGGACGGGUGAGUAACGCGUAAGGAACUUGCCCUGCAGUCAGGGAUAACAGACGGAAACGACUGAUAAGACCUGGUAAAGUCAGGCGGACUCAUGUCCAGCCUGAUGAAAAGAGGUGCUGCAGGAGAGCCUUGCGUCCUAUUAGCUUGUUGGUGGGGUAACGGCCCACCAAGGCGAUGAUAGGUAGCCGGCCUGAGAGGGUGGACGGCCACAAGGGGACUGAGAUACGGCCCUUACUCCUACGGGAGGCAGCAGUGGGGAAUAUUGGACAAUGGGGGCAACCCUGAUCCAGCAAUUCUGUGUGCACGAUGAAGGUUUUCGGAUUGUAAAGUGCUUUCAGCAGGGAAGAAAAAAAUGACGGAACCUGCAGAAGAAGCGACGGCUAAAUACGUG